CACACGCUCUGGCAGUCACACACUCCGAAACACUCCGAAACCCCAUGGCGUGCCACCUCGUCGCCGCCUGCGUCCCGCGUCUCGCCGUCGUGUCAUCCUCCGCCUCCGGGGACUCCGUCCGCCGUAUCCGGCGGCGCGCGCCGGGGUCGCGUCCCCAGAAGCCUCCCACGGCGGCUCCGCCCCAGCCGUCCGUCGCGGAGGUGCGGCGCGCCAUCGGGGCCGCCGACGACCCGUCCGCCUCCGGGAGGGAUAAGCAGUCCGGUUUCAUGGAGCUCCUCGCCUCUACGCCGAUCGGGCAGCCGGAGAGCGACGCUGAGCGCCGAAUCCGCGAGGCCGCCGAGUGGGUGGUCGACAACACCGAGGCGCGCGCACAGGAAGGGCAAAAGUCUAUCUUGGUGCUAUGCAUGAAGAUCUUUCCUCUGUGGCUGUUCCUCAUGCUUACUGCCCUUGGAGUUAUAAAAUUACCAUUUGAUAUUCCCGGUCUGGAUAUGGAUAAUCUCCUAAUGUAAAGUCUUAGAUUGUUUCUUCUCCCAGCUAUAUGAGCAGCGGAUACUUGAAAAGAAAAAAGUGAUAGAUAUUGUUCACACUAUUGAAGUUGCUUGUUUCGUAAGACAACAGCAGAUGAUGACUUAGAGUCAGUCAUGCCAACAGAGGAGCCUCUCUGCUCCCAUGUCUACAAGGCUAAGUACAAAUUAUUUUGGUUGUUAGAGUUUAAAGCAGAUCAUAUGCUAUAAAGGUUUGCUGAUUGAGUCUGUGGAAUUGGUUAGCAUGUGAAGAUCUGGAGUGCCUUUAUAGAGACAGAAGAAUGAGUUCACUCACAUGCAAGUACGCAGCCAAGUUGAAUAAGUUGAGUAUAUAAUUUAGGAGACAGGCUUGUAUUCUUUAUAUAUAUUCUUCUCUCUCCUGGAGUGCAAUCAUUUUGAGAGAUGGAAAUUGGCAAUGGAUUCCGAAACUUAUAACAUGGCUGAAGCAGCCAUGAGUUGAGCAAUGCACCAGACCAUGUGAGCAUCCAUGAUCUCACCAGCUUUUUGUUCAGGCAUUUUGGAUUGGGGCUAGAGCUAGACUUGUUUAAGCUCCUACUUUUCAUAAAAAGCCUUAUAAUAUCAUGCAAGUUGCACUGUGCAGAAUUAUUUGGUAAUUCAAUUAGAGUUGCCACACAACACAAGAAUUCAUUUAUAUCAGACAAGGAUGUUCUUGGAUAGAUAAAUAUAAGUGUUCGUACGUUGAGUACUUUUAAGAUCUCUUGCCUUCAAUCUGUCUGACGGGUUGGUAGGAUCUUAUGCAUCUUUGGUUAGUUUUGAGCAACUUUAAUUAUUUUGUUCUUCUGUUGGUUAUUUUGUAGAAGAGCAAAUGAGUUAAAAGCCAGUUCUCUUUAAAUAUUGAAGAAUCUGAUCUUGUUUCCUUAGAACUUGCAGAGGAGGCAUAUUGUUCCCGACUUAUCUAUCCUCCGAGCAAUUUUGUUAAGCUGCACACUUGAGAAUAUGCCAAUUUAUCCAGAAUUGCUGACUGUGAUAUGUUCUCUUCAUUUAUGCAUGCACGGGUCUUGUUCCACUUCAAUUGGUUAGUGUUCUAGUGGUGCAACUUUCCUACUAAUCCUUGUAGCCACAACUUUGCUGAGCUUUGAUAUUAAAGAGUUUCAAUAGCUAACUUCAGUUGUCUUGCUGGUUCUCGUUCUUUUUUGACUCUCAUGCAGGCAACCCAUGCAACUAUGUACAGUUGUUGCCUAACCGAUUGACAAACCGGUUCACCGAAACAAUAGUAGGGCAAGAAUGGAGAGCUAUAUGAAGAAGGGUUGAUGAACUCUUUGAUCUUUUCACGGCUGUAGUAAUGGGACCUGUCUGGUCUUGUCUAGCACUAUUUCUUUACCGCAACAACUUAUAAUUUCCCGACCAUACACAUGGUUGUCUAUUAACUUCAGAGACCAUCAUUUGAAAUCUUCCUCUCUUUCACUAAAUAAAAUAAAAUGACAUAAAUUUGAAGCCUUCCUCUGAUGGGCCUUAUAUUCUCAUCCAUAGCUUGGGCACUGGAUUCUUAAUGGUGGAUGCUGAGGAGAGAAAUGUUGACAUCAUCUGCUAAUGGCUAUACUGAAGGCACAACUACACACCAAAAGUGAAUUCUUCAUAUUGUGUGAGUUCACGUUGUCCGUUCGUGACUAGUUACAGUUGCCGGGAUUUGUUUGUACACUUCCUCAUGCUUUAUCCGCCUCGAAUAGGAGAAAUAUUGGUACAAUGGAGGUUUAUGAAGAGAUGGUUCGAUACCUGCAUACCUCCAUUGAUAUAUGUGUUACUCGGUAAAAAAUGUAUUUUAUCUGCAUCCUUGUGUUGUUCUUUUGAAUGCCCAUAUUUUUUUUUGAAAGGAACAAAUUACCUUACCCAAAAACAUAUGCUGUAUCAUUUGAAAAGUAUUUCUGUGUACCUCAAAUUGUGAAAAAGGCACUGUCCGGUUUGUUGCAAAAGAAUAGUUAUUCGAAAUUUAGGAUAAAUGGAUAAUAAUCUAUAUCUGAUCACAUCCAGAAAAUUAGCUAUAGUGGUAAUAAUUUUAUUUUCAUUAUCAAGUAUCCAGUUUAUUUAGGUGCACAUUAUCUAAUAUUCUAAUGCAUGUGUUGAUUCUACUCUUAUAUGGAAAUGGAGGGCUAAGCUGGGCAAAAGACAGAUUGACGAGUGCGUGUUCAUUUUUGGCUCAGUUUUAUCUGUUUAUUCCCUCUUCGAUACCUUUUACUGAAAGUGAUGAUCUUUAUAUAAUGUUUCUUGUUGCUCACAUGUUCAUUUUGUUUUGCUCCCUAAGGUGUUUUUUAGGACUGCAAGUCUUUAAGUUCAUCAUUGUUAGUGAAAAAACAACAAAAUGAUUACUGCCUCAGUUGCCAGCCUAGCUCAUUACUUAUUACUGCUAAUAUUGUUAUUAGCUAAGUGGUUGUUCCCUAAUAAGGCCUAUGUUCAUUGCAUUUGCAGAUUUUGUUGUGAUAUGUUCAUGGUUCCCAACAUAAGCAUUGAGCUGUUGAGAUAUAUGCUUUGAGUGUGGAAUUUGUUUUUGUUGAGUUCAUGAAUUCUACAUUUUAUGCUAGGAUUGGCUUUGUUGAAGUGUUGAAGCACUAAUAGUACUUGUUCCAAGGCAAGUAGUACUUUACUUUUCCCUAACUAGUUGCAGUUGACUUAGUUUAAGAUUAUUCUGCAGAUUGUAAGCCUAAAAAAUAUUAAAAUAUAAAGUUAUGCAGCAAAUAAUGGAGGCACAUAAUUUGUUCAUUCUCCACUAAGCACUUUAAAUCUCUUAUUAUAUUGAGAAAAUUGCAGACUACAAAAAGGCACCUUUUAAAUUAUUAAAAAGGAAGGCCAAGAUCAUACUGAGAUCAUCCUUCAGUUAGGAAGUUUCUUUGUGAUGCCCUCAUCUUCGAUCCUCAGUUUUGUUCUAAUAUUACGGCCUCAGUAGCAUAACACAGGUUCAAUGCAUAUGGAGAUUUUCUUCUGAUUUGAUUCCAUCGUACAUGAUUAAUGUUCAGCCCCGUAAUAACUACUGCUUUCCCUUGCAACCUUUUUGUACUUAACGAUGUCUUGUAGUGAUUGCAUGGAUGAUGUUUGCCUAGCUACAGGUGUCGAGUGAAGACGUAUGUGGGAUAGAUAAGUGCAUAGUCUAGGUGCAUAACCACACAGAUGCAUAUAUAACUCUAGCCAUAUCCUGUGCACACUAAUCUGUUGCUAAUGUCACAAGAUUUGCACACUAGCCAUAUCCCCUGUGUCUCUUCCUCUCUUACACCGGGGACAUGUAAACGAUAUUUGCGGUAGUUAACGAAAACAAUUACCUUGAUCUAGGGAACUUAUUGUCAAUCUAGCUGCUGUUUGGGGGAUAAGAAACAAAGAUAAUUUAUGGUCUUGUAUCAAGGACCCUGUCAUCUGACUAGAAGGUGAUACGGAAACUUCUAAUUCUGGGAACGGGAAACUGUAACAAAGGUUACUAUCUAGUUUUCAUGGCACUACAAAAGAAAAAUACUUUUAUGUUGCAUUCAAAAUUAUUCAGUUCUUAAGAUGCAUCAACAAAACAACCUGUUGUUUGAGUAAAAUGAUCUGAAGUACAUGGAGCACUCAUAUACUUGACUCCCCACUCAAACAAUUUUCUGAGUCCAAGAAUUAUGAUGUGUUCGUAUCCUACUGCUGUCCUAUGCUGCUGACUUGAUCACUGUCACCAGGAUGUGUAUCAAACAUAGCUGUAAUGACUAAUGGAAGUACCACAUUGGACAUAGCUCCAUCCCGCUGCAUGGAAAGUGAAAUCAGACAAGUCUCCUAGAAGUCCAAACUUUAAGCCUAUUGUAGAGCAUUUCAUAAAUGUACUACUACCAGGCGUUAACAUCUGUCAAAAAUAAUUUGAAUUAGUCGGAACUGAGAACUCCAUGCCAGUGCACGUAAAGUGGAAUCAGACAAGUCUCCUAGAAGUCCAAACUUUAAGCCUAUUGUAGAGCAUUUCAUAAAUGCAGUACUACCAGGCGUUAACAUCUGUCAAGAAUAAUUUGAAUUAGUCACAGCUCCAUGCCAUUGCACGGAAAGUGGAACCAGACAAGUUUCAUAGAAGUCUGAGUUUUACCCCUAGCUUCGUCGUUUGUGUAGAGCAUUUCCUAAUUGCCGAGUUACCAGGUUUUAACACCUGUUACUGGUAAGCUUAAUCACUUCUACUCUAUGCAUCAAGGUGACCUUCCUGGAAGUUUCCCUCCAAGCAUUGGUAGGAUAUCUUUUGGAGUCCCUUUCUUGGAGUCACUAAACAACCUUUCAUCUGCCUUUGUUGCAUGGAUGGAUGGAUGCCCACUUGAUCUUGUCUGGUUUUACCACUGUAAUUCUCUGGGGUGGUCAUGGCCAUUGCAUACUUUAAGCCUUUUGCUAGCUCCUAAGCUCCAAGCAAGUAGAAUAAUGAGUAGGAUAAGUUUAGGGUCAGAAGUGUGCCUCCUAGUGCGUAAACAAACUGCCUGCAUGUGGGGGGUAUGAUGUCCUUUUGAUAUGGCAUAUCAUCCCUUGUGUGCCUCUAUAUAAAGGCCCCCCAACUCAACACCCCUCUCAUCUCAUACCACACUAGCCACCAGUCCACAAGCUGUCUGUCUAGCUGCACUCCUCCUCUCUUUGCCUUGCACCAAGCUUCCCGAGCAUACCAUGAAGAUUGGCGGCCAGGGGAAGCUCAACAGGGCUUUCAGGGAGAAGAGGGCUAGGUUCUACAUCUUCCGCCGCUGCGUCGUCAUGUUGCUCCGAUGGAGCGACUGAUGGGUCUCUCCAUGACGGAUCUUGUUUUUUCCUUCCAUUCUAGGAUUUUUUUUUGGCACUGCCAUUUUUCAGGGUUAGAGUAGUUUAGCUGUAGUCGCUCUGUAUAGGCUAGACUUCAUCAUUUGAGGUCCUUUUUUCUCGGCAAAGGGAGAGAGAUCCAGCUCCGUAGUCUGAGGCUGCCAUCUUCUUGUACGACUGGAGAAAUUAAAGAUUGAUGUGAAGAUCAUUUCUUACCUGUU
RNA transcript from Triticum aestivum (bread wheat), 5473 nucleotides. It is a transcript of the gene named probable NAD(P)H dehydrogenase subunit CRR3, chloroplastic, with no coding region annotated. The transcript has 3 exons. NCBI's taxonomy places the organism in Eukaryota, Viridiplantae, Streptophyta, Magnoliopsida, Poales, Poaceae. The record is from RefSeq and is a predicted model, not a curated record.